CCUUCGGGUCUAGUGGCGCACGGGUGCGUAACGCGUGGGAAUCUGCCCUUAGGUUCGGAAUAACUCAGGGAAACUUGAGCUAAUACCGGAUAAUGACUUCGGUCCAAAGAUUUAUCGCCUAAGGAUGAGCCCGCGUAGGAUUAGCUAGUUGGUGAGGUAAAGGCUCACCAAGGCUACGAUCCUUAGCUGGUCUGAGAGGAUGAUCAGCCACACUGGGACUGAGACACGGCCCAGACUCCUACGGGAGGCAGCAGUGGGGAAUAUUGGACAAUGGGCGAAAGCCUGAUCCAGCAAUGCCGCGUGAGUGAUGAAGGCCUUAGGGUUGUAAAGCUCUUUUACCCGGGAUGAUAAUGACAGUACCGGGAGAAUAAGCUCCGGCUAACUCCGUGCCAGCAGCCGCGGUAAUACGGAGGGAGCUAGCGUUGUUCGGAAUUACUGGGCGUAAAGCGCACGUAGGCGGCUUUGUAAGUUAGAGGUGAAAGCCCGGAGCUCAACUCCGGAAUUGCCUUUAAGACUGCAUCGCUUGAAUCCAGGAGAGGUGAGUGGAAUUCCGAGUGUAGAGGUGAAAUUCGUAGAUAUUCGGAAGAACACCAGUGGCGAAGGCGGCUC
This 609-nucleotide ribosomal RNA is filed under the name uncultured bacterium. Its description in RNAcentral is "bacterial SSU rRNA". It matches the Rfam family "Bacterial small subunit ribosomal RNA", at positions 83 to 727 of the family's 1533-position model. The record is from RNAcentral.